CCUACGGGAGGCAGCAGUGGGGAAUAUUGCACAAUGGAGGAAACCCUGAUGCAGCGACGCCGCGUGAGUGAAGAAGUAUUUCGGUAUGUAAAGCUCUGUCAGCAGGGAAGAAACCCACCCUCCGUGAUGGCUGCCGUUCCCUGACUACGAAUCCCCGGCUAACUACGUGCCAGCAGCCGCGGUAAUACGUAGGUGGCAAGCGUUAUCCGGAUUUACUGGGUGUAAAGGGAGCGUAGGUGGAAAGGCAAGUCAGAUGUGAAAACCCGGGGCACAACCCCGGGAGUGCAUUUGAAACUGUCUGGCUAGAGUGCAGGAGAGGGAAGUGGAAUUCCUAGUGUAGCGGUGAAAUGCAUAGAUAUUAGGAGGAACACCAGUGGCGAAGGCGGCUUACUGGACUGUAACUGACGUUGAGGCUCGAAAGCGUGGGGAGCAAACAGGAUUAGAUACCCCGGUAGUC
Molecule: ribosomal RNA, 457 nt
Filed under: uncultured bacterium
Lineage: Bacteria
Description: partial 16S ribosomal RNA
Rfam family: Bacterial small subunit ribosomal RNA
Source: RNAcentral